Cucurbita maxima (winter squash) is the source of this 662-nucleotide long non-coding RNA. RefSeq lists it as uncharacterized. The record is from RefSeq and is a predicted model, not a curated record. NCBI's taxonomy places the organism in Eukaryota, Viridiplantae, Streptophyta, Magnoliopsida, Cucurbitales, Cucurbitaceae. The transcript is spliced from 2 exons.
CUUCGAUUUCUCCAAAUUCCUUCUACCUUCAAUCGCAUCCUCGUUCUCCCCCGAUCUUGACCUCGAUGUUCCAGCAGGAGCGUAUUGUUCCAGAGCCGUUCGCAAUCCCUCGACCUGUAAAUCGAAGAACUUGUGAACAUGGAAUCCAUGGAAAUGGCGAUGGAGUUUGCUGAAGAACAACAUUUAAGGCAAGAAGAUUUGUUGAUCAUUUCCUUCAGUGCUUGGUUUUCUUCUCGCAAUUUCUCCAUUUCCUGACGCUCGAGACUGACCUACAAAAGAGAAACAGAUAAAGGUAGCAAAAACAAGCACAAGAAGAAGAAGAAGAAACAGAGGAGAAAAACUGUUGAAAAAAUGUGCAGAACUGAAAACCUUGAUUUGUGUUCUUCGAUUCUGAAACCAGAACUUGAUUUGCUUAGAAUGAAGACCAAGAUUCUCACUGAGUUUCUGCCUCUGUUUCUCAUCGGGAUGAGGAGACUCUUUAAACACCCUGCAAAUAGUCCUCUAAAUUUGCUUCAAUCUUCUAAAUCCAUUCCCAUUUUCUUUAUAUUUCUUCCAUUAAUCAGUACAAGAAAUGGAGUUCGUUCGUUAACUUUGUUUAAUCUUCCUAUUUCUUCCAUAUAUAAACGAUGAACAGUGUAGAAAUUUGAGUUUCAUACUUCUCC